GGCAGUAACACGUGGGUAACCUGCCCAUAAGACUGGGAUAACUCCGGGAAACCGGGGCUAAUACCGGAUAACAUUUUGAACUGCAUGGUUCGAAAUUGAAAGGCGGCUUCGGCUGUCACUUAUGGAUGGACCCGCGUCGCAUUAGCUAGUUGGUGAGGUAACGGCUCACCAAGGCAACGAUGCGUAGCCGACCUGAGAGGGUGAUCGGCCACACUGGGACUGAGACACGGCCCAGACUCCUACGGGAGGCAGCAGUAGGGAAUCUUCCGCAAUGGACGAAAGUCUGACGGAGCAACGCCGCGUGAGUGAUGAAGGCUUUCGGGUCGUAAAACUCUGUUGUUAGGGAAGAACAAGUGCUAGUUGAAUAAGCUGGCACCUUGACGGUACCUAACCAGAAAGCCACGGCUAACUACGUGCCAGCAGCCGCGGUAAUACGUAGGUGGCAAGCGUUAUCCGGAAUUAUUGGGCGUAAAGCGCGCGCAGGUGGUUUCUUAAGUCUGAUGUGAAAGCCCACGGCUCAACCGUGGAGGGUCAUUGGAAACUGGGAGACUUGAGUGCAGAAGAGGAAAGUGG
RNAcentral lists this ribosomal RNA (573 nucleotides) under uncultured Bacillus sp. RNAcentral's name for it is "bacterial SSU rRNA". It matches the Rfam family "Bacterial small subunit ribosomal RNA", at positions 106 to 664 of the family's 1533-position model. The record is from RNAcentral. Lineage: Bacteria; Bacillati; Bacillota; Bacilli; Caryophanales; Bacillaceae.